Molecule: long non-coding RNA, 776 nt
Organism: Drosophila yakuba
Lineage: Eukaryota; Metazoa; Arthropoda; Insecta; Diptera; Drosophilidae
Exons: 2
Source: RefSeq, a predicted model, not a curated record
CGCUAUAGUGGAGAUAACAGGUAUAUUCAGAGAUAGUGGGAAAAUGACUUUUUAACAUUAACAUUUAUUAGAAACGGUGGGCGUUAUGGGAGUGACAAAAAUAUUUUGACAUAUCGCUAGACAAUAGCAAAUCAAUAAAAUUAAAAAAUUUAAAAAUAUUUUUCAAAACGUGUUGAAACAUGUUAUCUGGUCGGACGAAUCUAAGUUUAAACGUUUUUAAACGGAUACUGUUGGCAGAGACCUGGUGACAAGCUUCAAAGGCAUCAUCUUUUAAGCCAACUAAUAACAAAAGCCUAUGGACCGUGAUUGAGGAGCUCCAGGACCAAAUAUCCCCAAAACGGUGCCAGGACCUGGUUGACUCAAUGCCAAAACGUUUCGCAGCUCUUAUUGCUAAUAAAGGAUACACUACAUAAUAGUAAAUUGGUGGGAUGGGCGUAGUUUUAAUAUGCAAUCACUUGUUAUUAGUGAACUUGUUACUGUUAAGUUUAUAUUUUAAGUUUAAAGCAUUUUUCAUAAAGUGAUGCUAUUAUUUUUUUCGCGCUAUUUUGUUAUUUUUAAUAAAGUUCCUUAAAUAAGUUAAGAAUUCAUAGAACAGGUGAUUUUUUUUCAUUUCCUAAAAAGUGAAUUAUUAAACCUUUUUAAAAAGGUAUUUCAGCUCCUUUAAAACACUAAUCCCUAAUCCGCAGCUGUAUGUAUGUAUGUAUCCUAACACCGUUGUAGAAGUAAAACUCAAGUAAAUUUUGUAAUUUUUAAAAUAAAACUUAUUAUUCAUGUUA